UUGACCUCGGAUCANGUAGGGAUACCCGCUGAACUUAAGCAUA
Molecule: ribosomal RNA, 43 nt
Filed under: Botryosphaeria dothidea
Lineage: Eukaryota; Fungi; Ascomycota; Dothideomycetes; Botryosphaeriales; Botryosphaeriaceae
Description: partial 28S ribosomal RNA
Source: RNAcentral